UUCAGCUGAAAAGUCCCAAAUAAAACGAAACACACGUCCUGGAA
Molecule: non-coding RNA, 44 nt
Organism: Schistosoma mattheei
Lineage: Eukaryota; Metazoa; Platyhelminthes; Trematoda; Strigeidida; Schistosomatidae
Source: Rfam